Molecule: long non-coding RNA, 490 nt
Filed under: Aedes aegypti (yellow fever mosquito)
Lineage: Eukaryota; Metazoa; Arthropoda; Insecta; Diptera; Culicidae
Description: lncRNA AAEL025972
Source: RNAcentral
AAAGUUAAUAAGCUAUUUUCUAUUAGUACGCUUAACCUAAACGAACGGCGAGCAAUUCAUUACGGCAGUUAAAUCUAAAAUCACACAAAUAAUUAGUUGGUAUCCAUGCAACAAUAACCGUCAGAGUAUCAAUUGUUGUCUGACUCCGAGCGCGUAGUAAACGAAUUUUAUAACCGCCCCCACAUUGAACUCAAAUAAACGGUUUAUAAAAACGGAAUCUGCUCUUUGUUGUAUGGUGAGCCAACAAAUUAUAAAAUUCGUUUAGUUCAGCCGAACAAAAUGUCUAGCCGCAAUACCAGCAAAUCAGGCGCAUACGGUGGAUCGAAAGGCGAUAGAUCGGAUAAGGAUAGAAGUGAUACUCCCGCCGGAGUAGAAAGCUUACCAGUGGUGACAAUUACGACGGAAGAAGUGGUGCAGACUCGCCCAGGAUGGUCUUGUAAAUCUUGUAGAGAACCCGACGAUAGUGCUAUGGUGCAGUGCGAUCUCUGCC